This 380-nucleotide long non-coding RNA is filed under the name Capsicum annuum. Its description in RNAcentral is "long non-coding RNA (CANN_LNC015740)". The record is from RNAcentral. Lineage: Eukaryota; Viridiplantae; Streptophyta; Magnoliopsida; Solanales; Solanaceae.
UCUACUUUACCGACUCCAUUUAUUACUUUAUUCUUCAUUCAUUUGAGUCUUCAAUGAAUGUUCCUUGGAAGUUGCAUCAUUUUUGAAUAUUUUUUUUUUGGUUGGAUGAUGUACCUAGCUCCUUGGUACUUGUUUAUUCUUUUCAGUUGCUGCAAUUUAGUUUUUCUUUUGGUGUUGUUGUCAUCCUGCACAAAAACCAAAGUCAUCAUUAAAACUAUCCCUCAACAUCUUCUCUUUUUUUAUGAUGAUGAAUUUUAAAUGCAGUACACUUUCCUUUCUAAUUUCCUUGAGUUUUCUGCUUGUUUAGUAACUCUAUUUUGAGUUUAGUGUCUCUCCCCUUGAGUCGACUGCUUUGAAGGAUAGCAUACUCCCCCUGAUAU